GACGAACGCUGGCGGCGUGCUUAACACAUGCAAGUCGAACGGAGUCCAACGGAACUUCGGUUCUGUGAAGACUUAGUGGCGAACGGGUGAGUAACACGUGACUAAUCUGCCCCGGACUGGGGAAUAACAUCGGGAAACUGAUGCUAAUACCGCAUAUUGAGAUUUCAUCGCCUGGUGGAAUCUUGAAAGCUUCGGCGGUCCGGGAUGAGGUCGCGUCCUAUUAGUUUGUUGGUGGGGUAACGGCCUACCAAGGCGACGAUGGGUAGCCGGUCUGAGAGGAUGAUCAGCCACACUGGGACUGAGAUACGGCCCAGACUCCUACGGGAGGCGGCAGUGAGGAAUAUUGCGCAAUGGGCGAAAGCCUGACGCAGCAACGCCGCGUGAAGGAUGAAGGUGCUUUGCAUUGUAAACUUCUGUAGGGAGGGAAGAAUUGCCCGGGUUCCCCCGGGAGUGACGGUACCUCCAAAGUAAGCACCGGCUAAUUCCGUGCCAGCAGCCGCGGUAAUACGGAAGGUGCAAGCGUUGUCCGGAUUUACUGGGUGUAAAGGGCGUGUAGGCGGAGGAGCAUGUCGGAAGUGAAAUCGUGCGGCUUAACCGUAGCAAUAGCUUUCGAAACUGUUCCCCUUGAGUGCGGGAGAGGCAGAUGGAAUUCCAGGUGUAGCGGUGGAAUGCGUAGAUAUCUGGAAGAACACCGGAGGCGAAGGCGGUCUGCUGGCUCGUAACUGACGCUGAGGCGCGAAAGUGUGGGUAGCGAACAGGAUUAGAUACCCUGGUAGUCCACACCGUAAACGAUGGUCACUAGUCGUUGGGGGAUUCGACCCCUUCAGUGACGAAGCUAACGCAUUAGGUGACCCACCUGGGGAGUACGAUCGCAAGGUUGAAACUCAAAGGAGUUGACGGGGGCCCGCACAAGCGGUGGAGCAUGUGGUUUAAUUCGAUGCAACGCGAAGAACCUUACCUGGGCUCGAAGUGUGCUGUAAAACCAUGAAAGUGGUGUAUCUCUUCGGAGAGCGGUACAUAGGUGCUGCAUGGCUGUCGUCAGCUCGUGUCGUGAGAUGUUGGGUUAAGUCCCGCAACGAGCGCAACCCUUGUCCUUAGUUGCCAUCAGGUCAAGCUGGGAACUCUAAGGGGACUGCCGACGUUAAGUCGGAGGAAGGUGGGGAUGACGUCAAGUCCUCAUGGCCCUUAUGUCCAGGGCUACACACGUGCUACAAUGGCCGGUACAGAACGUCGCAAAACCGCGAGGUGGAGCUAAUCGGCAAAAACCGGUCUCAGUUCGGAUUGCACCCUGCAACUCGAGUGCAUGAAGUUGGAAUCGCUAGUAAACGCGAAUCAGCAGGUCGCGUUGAAUACGUUCCCGGGCCUUGUACACACCGCCCGUCACACCAUGGAAGUCGGUAGGACUCGACGGAUUUGAGCCAACCGCAAGGAGGCAGAGUCCUAAGGUCAGCCCGAUGACUGGGGUG
This 1466-nucleotide ribosomal RNA is filed under the name uncultured bacterium. RNAcentral's name for it is "bacterial SSU rRNA". It matches the Rfam family "Bacterial small subunit ribosomal RNA". The record is from RNAcentral.